Molecule: non-coding RNA, 6840 nt
Organism: Nothobranchius furzeri (turquoise killifish)
Lineage: Eukaryota; Metazoa; Chordata; Actinopteri; Cyprinodontiformes; Nothobranchiidae
Source: RefSeq, a predicted model, not a curated record
ACGUUAGAGUGCACGCAGUGCCCAGAGAGUAACAGUAAAUCAGACAGAGCUGCUCCUCCAGCUUCCAGCAGUGAAACUUUAACCCUGUAACGAGUAUUUUUGGCCGCUGAUAGGGACCGAAGUGAGAUCACUGCGGUCUCUUUCUCUCGGAUAGAUCUGAAGAGUUGUUCGGCAGGAGCGACGCAGGGACCGUUUUUCUUCCCCCGGGCUCAUUUCUGCUAUAUCUCUCAUUUCAUAUCACACUGGAAAUGUCCGAAAACAAGCCGAAUGAUGAGCCGAAGUUAUCUACGACGGACAGGGUGGUGAAAUCUGUCCCGUUUCCCCCAAGCCACCGGCUGACAGCUAAAGAGGUGUUUGACAGCGAUGGGAAGCCCAAAGUGGACGUUCUGAAGGCUCACCUAACCAAGGAGGGCCGGGUGGAGGAGUCAGUGGCCCUCAGGCUCAUAGGAGAGGGAGCCUCCAUCCUACGUUCAGAGAAGAACCUGCUGGACAUUGAGGCCCCCGUGACAGUGUGUGGAGAUAUCCAUGGGCAGUUCUUUGACCUAAUGAAGCUGUUUGAAGUAGGAGGAUCACCAGCAUCCACGCGCUACCUUUUCCUUGGGGACUACGUUGACAGAGGGUAUUUCAGUAUUGAAUGUGUGCUGUACUUGUGGGCCUUAAAGAUUCUUUACCCAAAAACACUGUUUUUGCUGCGUGGGAACCAUGAAUGUCGACAUUUAACAGAGUAUUUCACAUUUAAGCAGGAGUGUAGAAUUAAGUAUUCAGAGAGGGUGUAUGACGCAUGUAUGGACGCCUUCGACUGCCUUCCCCUGGCUGCACUAAUGAACCAGCAGUUCCUGUGUGUACACGGAGGACUUUCUCCAGAAAUCACAAAUCUUGAUGACAUCAGGAAACUAGACAGAUUCAAAGAGCCCCCAGCAUACGGCCCAAUGUGUGAUCUGCUGUGGUCCGACCCGCUGGAGGACUUCGGAAAUGAGAAGAGCCAAGAGCACUUCACACACAACACAGUGAGAGGCUGUUCCUAUUUCUACAGCUACCCUGCAGUCUGUGACUUUCUACAACACAAUAACUUAUUAUCCAUCAUCCGGGCCCACGAAGCACAGGAUGCUGGAUAUCGCAUGUACAGAAAGAGUCAGACCACUGGCUUCCCGUCUCUUAUCACCAUCUUCUCAGCUCCAAACUAUCUAGACGUCUACAACAACAAAGCGGCCGUGCUGAAGUAUGAGAACAACGUGAUGAACAUCCGACAGUUCAAUUGCUCACCUCACCCUUACUGGCUGCCCAACUUCAUGGAUGUGUUCACCUGGUCUUUGCCCUUUGUUGGUGAGAAAGUGACAGAGAUGCUUGUGAACGUUCUGAGCAUUUGUUCCAACGAUGAGCUGACGACUGAUGAAGAGCUGGACGGACAGCUAAUAUAUCCCCCCAAAAAAGGUGCCACAGCCUCUGCUCGUAAAGAAGUAAUCCGUAACAAGAUCCGUGCCAUUGGGAAGAUGGCCAGGGUAUUCUCAGUGCUCAGAGAGGAGAGUGAGAGUGUGUUGACGCUGAAGGGACUGACCCCGACAGGCAUGCUACCAAGCGGAGUGUUGUCCGGCGGCAAAGAAAAGCUUCAGAAUGAAACUGCAGGUAUAAUCGAUUGUUGUGCAAGUAUUCUCUUUUAUCUUUUUAUUUAGCCACAGUAAAUCGUUUUCUUUUUUUGUGUGAUUAUUUUUUUAUCGUUCAGCUCACCCUCUUGAUUCCAAAAACUCCCUGAGUGAGUUUGACAAGCUGCUGCAGACCUUUCCAGGAGCAUUUCACGUCUGGUUUGCCAUCUUAUCUGAUUUAGGAAGCUGGUUGUGAAAACUAGAAGUCCAGAUCCAGUUCUUCUCACGGUUCUUGAACAACAUCAGCUUCCAUUUUCCAGGGUAUACAUCACAUGCCUCUUCAUGCUUGACUUCUUAGAUCAAUCAACAAUAAAAGUUUCAAACAUUAUGAUUACAUUUUGAACAUUUAUUUUUUCUUAAAUUUGCUUCUUAGGCAGUCAAACUUCCUGGUUAGGGACGCUUAACUUUAAUUAUUAAGUUUAGUUUAUUUACUGUGUUUCAAACACUCUUUUAUUAAUCCAGUUAAGUGAAAGCAGCUCUGUGCACUGUUCUGACUCUCUUUACCUACAAUAAUUAAAAACCAGGGUAUCUGCAGGGUCUUAAACUAUUCAAAUUUGAUCAAUUGAUUUAAGGAAACUUAAGACCCUUAGAAAGUACUAUAUUGGUGAAGUCUUAAAUUUUGUUAUUAUUGAAAUACAUGAAUGAAAAGCAGGAGAGCUGGUUUAUUAAGUGCAAAAAAAGGGAAAAAAACGUCUCUACACCUUAUGUGUCUCUGUCAGAGUAGCCCUACACAUUUAAAAGCUUGAGCUGUCUCAUGUGUACCCUGGAACCUUGGUCCUGAUGUUUUUAGACCCUGUGAGCAGAGAGAGGAACGAUAAUGUCUCUUUAGGUACGCGUCUUGAGUGGCAGGUUAACACCUUUAGAUGAUGCACUGGCCAGCAGCCAGUCUGAUAUGACAGGUAAAACUCUGCACCUUUGGGGAAACAAAUGAAAACAGUUCAAAUAAAGCAACCUUCCCCCUUUAAAUACAGCAGCAUGGUUUGUAUGUCUGUUGAACCCCUGAUCUUUCCCAGGAGCUUUAGCGCAUCUGUACAAAUCUUUUGUCCCUCGUCUGACAUUACGUUUCUUCAAGAUUGUUGCUAAUAAAAUGGAUUUGUUCUUAACUCGGUUUAACUCCAGUGAAAGUAGAAGGAGGCUGAGAUUACUGCUGCAACUUUAGUGGAAUCAGAUUUCUCCUUUUGUUUUAACAAACAUCAGUGUGUUUUCUCCGUGACGUAGUCUCCAUCUGCCACACCGUUCAAAGUCUCAGGUGUUUCUGUUGUGGUGACCCCCCUCUCAUCGUGGCCAUGUAUCAUGUGGUCCUCUGUAUCGUCACGACAACUGAGUUUUUGUGUGAAGCUGGUUUUCUGGAGGUUGUUUGUGUGUCUAGAAUCUCCAGGGUUUUGGUAAGUGUGAAAGGUCUCCCUCCCCCGCCCCAGAAAUCAGCCAAAGUAAGGCGGCACUUUUGAUAUGUUUAAUAUCAAAAGAUGCUUAACGUGCAAGAUUGAUGUCGCACACAGCAGUAACCAUGUUCCAUGUGUCCACAGUGCUGGUGGUUUACAUUGAGUAGAAGUUUUGAAAACCCACAUUUUCCAAAACCAUAUUGUUCCUCAUUUAUUCCUUUUCCAGCUUUGCUUUCAUCACAGAUGCUUUUAAACAGUUUUUUCUACCAUUAUUGUGUCAGAUUUGCUAUAAAUGUUGAUUCAUCUCACAUUCGCUCUCUUGUUAGACUUAAAGAACAGAACUGCAGCCCUCUCCACUAGGAAUGAAGCAGUUACUUGGUUUAAUGGUUACUGUGGCAACAUCUUCUAUAGCUGCACAAAUUGACCAUAAAAUUAUAUUCUGUGCAUAUAUAAGUACUUCAGUGGAAAAGGAAAAAUACAUGUUUAAGGUUUUUUAAAUGAUGUAAAAUUUUAAGUCUGCUCAUAAAAAGUCAACAGUCUAAAUGACUGUUGACUGUUGACAGACUUUAAUAAAUCACAUUAAAUAUAUACUCCUACUAUUUAUUAAAGAAAUAUAUACUAACAACUAGGGAUGUAAGGAAAUAUUGAUAUGGUGAAAUAUUGCGAUAUUUUGUGUUAUGAUAUUGAAUAGAUCAUUAAAAGCAGUGUAUCAUUUUUUAUUGAGAAUUUACACGCAAACAUUUAUGUAUUUUUCUUGUGAGGUGCAGUUCAAACUCUAGGUGGCGGCAGUUCUUACUGGCUUCAUUCUGGUGGAACAACAGAAUGUGUCUUGGAAGUGUUUGGCCUGAGUUUCCCAUUAAUUUAUUUCUUAAAAAUUACCAAACUCUUCUGACAUUUAGUAUCAUCUAUAGGGAGCCUAAGUCACACCCAUCUACUUUGGAACCAUGGGUUCCCGGAAGAAGGAAAAAAUGAAUGCAAGUCAGUGGGGCUAAAAAUGCUAUUUUCUAACCCGUUUGUUAUGUGCCAUGGAUUUUACAUAUGAUGUCUGGGAAUUUUAAAGACAUUCUGAUGCCAAGAAAGAGCUUAUUUUGAAUAGGGGCAAAAGUUAUAAUAGGUUUUGUGUGAAUAGAUGUCCAGUACUACAAAUGCACAUUACCAAGUUGACGUCAUCGAACCAGACACGGACCACCAUAAAUCUGGCCAUGUGGUAAGUAGCAGCUACGCUAGGGGAGGGGAGGGUAUGGUCUGUAGCGAAGGCAUAAAUGCGACGUACCGACGCCAAAGCUGUAGUCAUAGGAAUUACAAACUUUUACAAGCUGAUAAAUCUCAAAGUACGUGACCGGCGUGCUCGAAACACCCAUCAUCACUUUUCAUUUAAAUUGCAGUACAACAUAUGUGUGAUCCAGGGCCUAAGGCAAAGGGGAUUAGAAAAUAGCAUUUUUAGCCCCGUUGAAUUGCAUUUAUUUUUUUUGUUCUUCCGGGGACCCAUGAGCUGACCGGAAAGGGAGGAGACUUAGGCUCCCUAUAUAUCGUAUUAUCUCCCCUGUAUUGUGACACAAAUAUCAUGCUUGCUUAGUAUGAGGAUUGCUGUAAUGACUCUGACACUAGUCAGUGACUCGAUGCGAUCUGCUGGGUUCCUUAAAUAGGAAACUUUAUACUGAUUGGCUUAAGGAGCUGAACUGUAUGGGAAUGUUUACUUUGUGAAGUGCCUUGAGAUGACUCUUGUCAUGAUUUGGCGCUAUAGAAAUAAACUAAUUGAAUUGAACUGAAAUGGUAUCACCAGAUUCUUGCCUAUAAAACCCAGUAAUAUUGCUGGUUCAUAGAAGUAACUUUACCAUGAGCAUCUCAGUAGUAAUCCUGAUAAAUCUCAGUAAUCAUGACAGUUUAAAACCGCUUCAUCCCUACACUCUGAGAGGUUUGCUGCCACAACAUCUCUUUUCCUUUCUUUUGCUAACAUCCUCCUUUUCUUUUUGUCCAUAAAAUGUGGAGAUGACCUUUUUGUUGUGGGUAUUGGCUAUCUCUUGCUGCUCACUGACUUGGGACCGAAUAAACUCCUCUUGCUCACUUCUCUCAUUCAUUUUGCAACCCCCCUCUUCUUCUCUUCAGCUACUAUUGAAGCUAUUGAGGCUGAUGAAGCCAUCAAAGGCUUCUCGCCUCAGCACAAGAUCACGAGCUUCGAGGAAGCCAAGGGCCUGGACCGCAUCAACGAGAGGAUGCCUCCGCGGCGGGAUGCCUUGCCAAUGGAUGCCAGCCUCAACUCGUUCAACAAGGCGCUGUCGUCGGAGACCAACGGCACGGACGCCAAGGGCAGCACCAGUGGUGGCGGCAUCCAGUGAAGAUCGGCGGUGGCGGCAGGGCUGCCUGGUCCCCACCCCAUCAUGGCUUGCCACAGGAAAGGGGCAAGGGCUGAAGUGUGGAUGAGGGGGGAGGGGGGCAUCUCACAUGUUAGUCUUUGGAAAUGCCUUUAAGAUCUUAGUUCCUUGUCCAAUCUAAGUAGUUGCCAGGCCCUGUUUUUGACCGGCUCGAGCUCUAAAUAGGUCUGACAGUGCCCCACCCCAUAGUACGUCACAGCUCUCUCUCCCUUUCUCGCUCCCACUCUCUCUGUCUCCCUCUCUCCUAACAGACCCUCCCUCAUUGACGCCCAAACGGAAACUCCUUACUAACUCUUGUACGUUUACAGAUACGCAGCACUAAAAGGAUCAUGUUUUUAACAUAAAAGGGUGUACAAACUAAAUAAGGACUAUUUAUUGAUGAUGACUUUGUUUUAUUUUGUUACUCUUAUGAAAUAGGUCUGACGUUACUUAGGCAGUCUUAAAGAGAAUGUUGUGGAAAUGCCAAAUAAUGGAAGGUUUUAUGGUUUUGUACAUAUUCUGCUUACCUCAGGUUCCUUUGGUGUGUGCUUUGGCCUGAUUUAUUUCUGUAUAAUGGUUAAAUAACUCGCUGAUGAAUACCUAUUUUCUUGAGUUUCAUAACUGGAAUUUACACUUCCCUAUCUAUCAUUUGCAAAUAUGUUUAUUUUUUGUCUCUUUUGAGAAAUGGGGAGGGGGGGUAGAUUUAUUGUGGCUUGCUGGAAUUGAGUGUUAAUUUUUCUCUUUUUAAGUAUUGCGAACAAAGUAAAAAUAGAGAAGCUAUAUUGUGUAAAAAAAAGAGUAUAAUAAAGUGUCUGCCUAUGCAUGUUUUAUAAAAAUCAAAGAAACGAGAACAUCUGAAUACCUUUUGGCUGUGGAGCCCUGUUUUGAGAUAUAUUGCGCUUUAGUGAACAUAUACUGGAAACUUGCAUACUUUCAAUUAACACCAUGAUGCUCUAUGCCUUCAACUCCUUUUGUAAUUGAAGCAUUUAUUGAUCUAAGAGGGAUGACGACUCAUGUUUUUAACCUGCGCUUGUAAGUGCACACAGUCCAGUUUAAGCAUGUUUGACAAUUCUUGUGAGGUGUGUGGUUACACGUGGAACUCCAAAAUGCAUGACUAGCUGUUUGUGUCAUAUACCAGGUGAAUACGUUUUUGUUUUGUAAAUGUGCCACAGAAAAGUGUAAUUUGAUUCCUAUUAUUAUUAUUAUUAUUAUUAUUAUUAUCAUCAUUUGGAACUCUGAUUUGUAUAUCAGUUACAGGUUUGAUACUGCUCAAUACUUUAAGAUGAAACAAGAGAAAAAUACUUAGGUCUUUUUUAAGAACUGCUUUAAGUGCCCAAGUAAUUCACUACACGACAUGAAGCCUUGCUUUUGUAAUUUAACUUCAAACCUGUUGGCAGAUGAGGCAUGCACUUGCAACUAUGAGAAGUAUUUUAUAUAACUGUUCAAUAAAAAUGUGCAUGAAUUUCA